AGUCUAAAUAGAGGUGCGCCGAAGAUGAGUACAUCUUUUCGUAAUCUGCCAGGGGGCGGGAAGAGAGGGAAAGGCUAAAGCGCCGAAGCUGUUGCUGUUCCCCUCGGAUAGCAGCGGCUGGGGUGAUUCGUGAACAAUGAGCAUCCUGUCACAAAAGGCAAUCGCCUGUUUGUGGAGCGCUAUUUACGAU
This 190-nucleotide non-coding RNA is filed under the name Brevibacillus sp. RNAcentral's name for it is "Lysine sequence". It matches the Rfam family "Lysine riboswitch aptamer". From Rfam's summary of the family: Riboswitches are metabolite binding domains within certain messenger RNAs that serve as precision sensors for their corresponding targets. Allosteric rearrangement of mRNA structure is mediated by ligand binding, and this results in modulation of gene expression. The record is from RNAcentral. Lineage: Bacteria; Bacillati; Bacillota; Bacilli; Caryophanales; Paenibacillaceae.